UUUUUAAACCAUGUGUCUAAUACCUCCUUAAAUUUAAAGAAGGUGAGGGUUUUGACUGAUUGUGGCAGUUGGUUAUAUAACUUUAGACUUAGGUGUUUGUGAUUGUUGUGUGUCAGUGACAGCCUAGAAUACGGUUGUAUUACAACUUGUAGUUUUAGGACUCUUAUGCUGUUGUCACUGACAAUCUGUGAAAUCUGAUGAUAAAAUGCCAAAUUAUAAAAGUUACAAGAAAGGGCCAUUAACAACAGGAGCAAAUCAGAAAACAGCUUACAGCAUAACAAUGCUAAACCUAUGCCAUGUUGUAAUAAAAUACAAAUUGACACUGACCACUGGGGAUUAGACCAUGGACCUUUAGCUUGAAACUUAUUCUUUCCCUGAGAUCCUAGUUGCAAAUAAACUUGUACUUAAGCACUUCAUGACUAAUGAAACUCAAAACUAUUAACUUUGUAGCACCCAAAACAGUCUAUAUUGACAUUAAUGCCUAUUUUUGCCUAUUUCAGCUUUAAAAUCCUAAUAGGUAUAUAUUUCUUUAAGGUAACAUUAAAUUAUUGUGCUAUUUGCAAAAGAUUAGAAAUGUUUGCAAGAACUGAAGGGGAUAUUUGAAAAAAAAAUCUGUAGGUCAUAGAAUCCUGGCCAUAGCUUAUUUCCACAAAGAAAGAUAUUUGUAGGUUUUGAAUUGACAUCAGAUGCACAAAAUACAUAGACAAGGGGAGAGUUAAAGCUGCCUAGCAAUUUUAAUAAAAGAACAACUCCUCUCUCCCUGACUGUAUGGUUUUCUGUUGAUGAAACUACUGACAGUAUUGGCAGGCACAUUGCAAAUCUGAUUGUUGGCAAGCUCAACCCAGAUGGACCAUACAAGGCUUCUUUUAUUUGUUCGAAACAACUCCCAAAGACUAAUUAGUAAAACAAUUGCACACUUUGUCAACAAUAGGUUGAAGGGAAUACAUCCAAAUGGAAUGGAUGAAAACGAGAUGCUUUUGACCUUCACAGCUGUCACUGCACAUAUCAUUGCAGCAUUUCAGUUGCUUGGUGCUGCAUGUAAAUUCCAUAGCAUAUGGUAUCAAAUGUAGAGCAAAGCAAAUAAGACUAGAAUUUGCUCACAAAUAAUUACUCUCCAUGGUACAGAAAGUUUUUGUUAAGGCACCGUCAAGUAUAGGGGCACCCAAAGAACAACUUCCAGAUGUCCCAUUGACCUCUGAACCUGUUGUUAUAUGCUGGGGUGCUUGGUUGGCAGUAGGAUACUACAGUAAACAUCUCCCAGCAGUCCUGAAAGCAACUGAAAGUCUACUGGAGGAUACCACCUCUGUAACUUUGACAAAGCAAUUACUCAAAGAGCCCUCAGUCCAAUGGGACUUGGCUUAUAUUAACCUGCAGCAAAGAAGAUAUCUUUUAGAGAUUUUAUGUAAUAAUGCUGCUAUAAUAGUGUAAAGAAUUAUUUUCCAAAUUGUCUCAGUGAAGCUUAUCUAUGAGAACAUUUCUUUACUGGAGAAAGUUAAAAAGAAAAUUAAUGAAUUACCAGGUGAAGUGAUAGUAAAAGUACAGAUAAAAAUGCAAUAGGUUUUGCUGAAGAACACUGAUGUGAAUGACAUCCACAAAGCGGCAUACUUACUUAGUAGAAAAUCCAGCUCCCAUGAUUACAGCAUUCCUAUCCAACAUGUUCCAAAAGUGAAGUAUGCCCCUUUCACAUCCAUUGAUGUAGAAUGUUCUUUUUCAGCAUAUAAAUUGAUGUUGACUGACAAACAUCAUAGUUUUUCUCUUGAAAACCUAGAAAAUGUUUCGUUUAUUUACUGUGAAGUACUGUAUGGUCUGAAAGGCUGCUUAGCCGGCAUUUACUAAAUUACAUAUUACACAUAUUUCAACAUAUUGCUAUAUGUGUUUUAUGCUGUAUUUUUAUCUUGAAUAAACUAAUAAGGUCUGGGUUCAGUUUGAAUAUUACAAUAGUAUAAUGUUUGCUGCAUUUUACAGCUGUGCAUAUUUUCAUUUUACUUGUUUUAAAUGAAUAACAAUAUGCUCAUACAUCAACACUGUAUAUUUUACAUUAUGUUUAAUUUUCUGUAUAAUAUAUUUUAGAGCCUCUUUUGGGUUUUAUGUAACCUAAAUGAGGCACUGAAAGAGCCUAUUUUAAGUGCUUGAAAUGCACUUUUCAUGACCUAAAAAUCUGCAGUCUAUUUAUGAUACAUGUUCAUGGUCUGUAGAUGGCAGUGCGACUGAAAUGGAUCCACCACAAUAAAUACAUCAUCAAACUACUAUAGCAGCAAUCUGUAUUUUAUUACAGAUGUGGUAGAUUUAUUGUGCAGACACUGCAUUCACCACUAAUCGACAUUAAUAUAAAAAAUUACAACUACUAAAGGGAUUAUACAAUUCAUUAGGUCACUAGAAAGUGGCAAUUCUGCUGGCUGUGAUAGUGUUUUUAGCAGACUGUUAUAAUCUUGUACUGGCUUGAUAAGAUUACCCUUAAUUAUCUUUGUAAUCCAUCAAUGAGUUGGUGUUUAUUUCCUGACAGGCUUAAAUAUGUUGAAUAACACCCAUCCACAAAACUGGAGAUAAAAAAAAAACCACUGCUAAUUACAGACUCAUAUCAUUCCUUCCAGUCUUUCCAAAAGUAUUUGAGCAAGUGGUCUAUGAUACAUAAUGUUUAUUUAUUAAACAUCCACUUCAUCAAAUCUUUGAUUUAGGAUAGGGUUUAUUUUGUACAUUAAUACACUGUUUUAAAUACAGUGUACAUUAGAGUAAAAUUAAUUCAAUACCAUUAAUAAUUUUAAGAAUAUAGUACAGUACAAUAAACAAGUCCACUAUAAUACCACUACAUUAAAAUAUAUAAUGUAUAGUACUGUGAAUAACAAAAGCAAUUUUCAAUGCCUAAAAGAAAGAGGGAAACAAUUUACCUCACAAAUGUGUUUUUAGAACCAUUUUGAAUUUUUGUGUUUAUCGUAUUGGACAUAUGUGGAGGGAAGUUUAUUGUACAGUUUUCUCCAUCUGCAGUGGUCCAUUUUGUCUGAGAGUUGUGUUGGUAUACCCACUGUGAAGAUUCAGUUUUUGCUUCGUGUCAUAUAUGUGGACUAAUUGAUCUGUAGAUACUAAGUUGUUUUUUUUCUGAAAUUUUCUUUAUGUAGGUAACUACCUCAAGAGUAUACAGACAUGGCAAUGGUAGUAUCUGGAGUGCUUUAAAUAGGGGUUUGCAAGAGUUUCUGAGUGCUGCAUUUUCAGUUGUUCUUAUCAUCCUCCUUUGUGCUAUGAAAUAGCUUUUGCUUAUUGGUGCAUUGCGACAGUUUUCUCAGUGUCAACAACAAGAUUAUUAUUGGUGAAUGACUCUGCAAUGUGUGAGAUGCAAUUUUGUGUUUCAUGCUGUUCAAGGUGUCCUUUUUAAGAGUUACUGGAUGACUCUAGGUCUUUGAUAAAUAUGAAGAAAGACACUUGGACCAAAAUGGAAACUUAGGGCAUACUGUACAUAUCUUCUUUUCUCUUAUAAUGCUAUGGGUAAAAAGAGUAAAUUCACUCUUCACCUUGUGAAACAAGCCGACAACGGGUCAUAUCAUUUAAAAUCACCAGAAGAAGAUUCUAGUCAGGUUCCUCCUUGUCCUGCACCAAAAGAAAGAGUAGACCUACAAAAUAAAGAUAAUACGGAAAAAGAAGCCAAUACAGAGGCGAAUUCCACUUCUGAGUUUGAAAGUCUUUUCGAACACAGCAGCAAGGAUGAUAUCUCCAGUGGCAGUAGUGAUGUGUAUGAUCCAGAUAAAAACAAAAAUGACCAUAGCAGUAACAACAGCACAGAAGACGAUGACGACAAAGUCGAUGUGGGAGUAAAAAGUGCUAAGCAGUGCCAUAAAAGGAAAAGCAAUCAAUCUCUCAAUAUUUGCAGAAAGAAAAACUUAUGAGGGGACAGGAUUAUUUAGGAAUGCAAAAAGAUGAGUUUGGCAAAAAGAGACCAACAAUGAGCAGAAGUAGGAGGGAAAUGAAACCACGAUGUACUUGUAGACUUCUUGCUUAAAUCAGAACAGGAAUUGCAAGGAUAUUACGGAAGAGCAGAGAGAGCUAAUAUUUAAUCAUUUCUGGCAGGAUAUGUCUUGGGGUGAAAGAAAAAUUUUUGUUAGAAGCCUUGUCUACUAUGUUCCAGUUAAAAGACGCAGAAAUAAUUCAGACUCUAAUAAAUCUCACCGUUCUAACACACUAUAUUACAAUUUUGUAAUAGAAGGACAGAGAAAAACUGUCUGCAAGACUAUGUUUCUGAAUACUUUGUGCUUAGGCGAAUGGAGUGUCAGAACAUGGGCAUCUAGUGCAUCAGGAAGAGUGCUUGCAGAAGGGCCUCAAAUGCAGGAGAGACCAACGAAAGUUUCAGGUGGACAACAACCAGCAUCAGACGUUUACAGUGUUUCCGAAACUGGAAUGGCAUUACUGUCGUCGUUCUUCCACAAAACUCUACUUGGAACCUAACUGGCAGAGUAAAUCAGAACUACAUGGGGAAUAUGUAGAACUUUGCAAGAAAAGAGGACAAAUCCCAGCUGCUUACAAACAGUUCUGCAAGGUAUUCGAUGAAAAUAAUCUUAACUUAUUUACACCUAAAAAGCACCAGUGUGAUCUUUGUUGUUCUCACCAGACAGGCAAUCUCUCAGACAAUGAAUACUCUUGGCAUAUGGCCCGAAAAACUGAAUCAAGGGAAGCGAAAAACAGUGAUAAAUUAGGACCAGCUAGAGUGUUUACUACGGACCUUAAAGCACUUCUGCUUUCUCCCAGACUAAAAGUAUCUGCACUGUACUAUAAAAGCAAACUAAAGGUCCACAACUUUGCUGUCUAUGAUUUAAAAAGUAAUGAUGGUUAUUGAUACCUUUGGCGCAAGAGUGAAGGUCGACUAACAGCUUCAGAAUUUGCCAGUAUACUCGUGCAUUUAUAGAAAUGUACGUCCAAAAUGAUUCAGAAGCUAUUUUCUAUAGUGACAGAUGCAUGUACCAGAAUCGAAACUCAGUCAUGAGUAAUGUACUGGCUCAUCUCGCCAAUCAGAAAGGCAUUACAAUAGUGCAAAAAUUUUAUGGAGAAAGGUCACACUCAAAUGGAGUGUGAUUCUAUGCACUCCACCGUAGAAAGGAAGUUAAAAAACAGACACAUUUAUACUCCUGCUGGCUAUGUAGAAGUUUGUACUACCGCAAGACAAAGUCCUAGACCUUAUGUUGUCAAUUAUUUGGACCACACGUUUUUCAAGUCCUAUGAUAAACUCUUGUUGUAUUAGUCUAUUCGGCCAGGAUCCAAAAUUGGGGAUCCAACAGUGACUGAUAUCCGGUGUCUCAAGUAUGAUCCCUCUGGAAAAAUGGAAUAUAAAUUGAAAUUCAGCGAUACAUGGGAACCACUUCCAAGAAGGAUGUCAAACAUAUCCAGCUCAUUUACAGUGCCCCCUCUCUACAGUUCACAUCUAAAGAUCAGUGCAGAAAAGUUUACGCUUUUGAACAACUGAAGCUAGUCCUUCCUAAGGAUGUGCAUUCAUUUUAUGACACACUGCCUCACAUUUGUAAUGAGAGAGCAUGUCCGUGCCUAAAAAAAUGCAGCCGAAAAUAAACUUGUUUAGAGCCACCUAUGACUGUGAUUGUGAUAGUAGCAGUAACAGUAACAAUAAUAAAUGUUAAUAAACUGCACAAGUGUUUACAGUAUUAAAAGUUUAAUUAAAGCUAA
Molecule: long non-coding RNA, 5658 nt
Organism: Schistocerca piceifrons (Central American locust)
Lineage: Eukaryota; Metazoa; Arthropoda; Insecta; Orthoptera; Acrididae
Exons: 5
Source: RefSeq, a predicted model, not a curated record